GUGGGGAAUAUUGGACAAUGGGCGAAAGCCUGAUCCAGCCAUGCCGCGUGUGUGAAGAAGGUCUUCGGAUUGUAAAGCACUUUAAGUUGGGAGGAAGGGCAGUAAGUUAAUACCUUGCUGUUUUGACGUUACCGACAGAAUAAGCACCGGCUAACUUCGUGCCAGCAGCCGCGGUAAUACGAAGGGUGCAAGCGUUAAUCGGAAUUACUGGGCGUAAAGCGCGCGUAGGUGGUUUUGUAAGUUGGAGGUGAAAUCCCCGGGCUCAACCUGGGAACUGCCACCAAAACUGCAUGACUAGAGUACGGUAGAGGGUAGUGGAAUUUCCUGUGUAGCGGUGAAAUGCGUAGAUAUAGGAAGGAACACCAGUGGCGAAGGCGACUACCUGGACUGAUACUGACACUGAGGUGCGAAAGCGUGGGGAGCAAACAGGAUUAGAUACCCGAGUAGUCC
This 450-nucleotide ribosomal RNA is filed under the name uncultured bacterium. RNAcentral's name for it is "partial 16S ribosomal RNA". It matches the Rfam family "Bacterial small subunit ribosomal RNA", at positions 354 to 796 of the family's 1533-position model. The record is from RNAcentral.